This 653-nucleotide long non-coding RNA is filed under the name Marmota monax (woodchuck). The record is from RNAcentral. Lineage: Eukaryota; Metazoa; Chordata; Mammalia; Rodentia; Sciuridae.
ACAAAUGCUAUAGGAUAGUGAAGUAAUUCAUCACCUAUAUUUAAAGUUGGAUUUACUGAUAUUUUAUGGUAUUAGAUAUUAUUUCUAUUAACAUUUUAUGCUGAAAUUACAGAAUGAUUCGUGAGUACUGAAUUUUUGAUUGCUUUUACACUUGCUGGGACACUAUUAAACUUGAUUUACGUUAAUAGCACUGUAAGAAGAUAUUAACAAUGAAAUUUCCAAAAGCACUUAGCAUCUCAUAAUUGGAGUUAAAUGACAAAAAAAAUGAGGAGAUAAUAAAGUAAAGAGAGAAAAGGAGAGAGAAAGUUUUGACAAUAUCCUUUUUAACCUGUGGUUCUUAAUAAGAUUUUUGCAAGGAUUGUUUUAGGUUAGGAAAGAAUCAAAUCUCCGAUCAGGAGAGAUGAUGCUGAUUUAUUAAAGGGGUUUUAUAAUAUGGAAUAAAGACUGAGCUCCAGGUGGAAAGUACAAAAUCUACUGCUUCUAGGAGAGAAAAUUUUCUGACUUCCAGACUAAGGAGGAAACUUUAAUUGCUGCCCUUCCUUCCAUGGUGGCUAGAAGAUAUUCUAACAUUUUUCUUUUAAAUGAAAAUAAUCAAUUUAGGCAUGAUACUGGGUUACAGAGAGGUAGGCAUCACAAGACACCAAAGCUAAAAC